AGCUUUGCACAGUGGCAGUAUCGUAGCCAAUGAGGUUUAUCCGAGGCGUGAUUAUUGCUAAUUGAAAAAGAAAAAAAAAAAAACAUAGAGGAUACUAUAGAGCAACUCUCAAACAUUCAGGAGGAAAUGAGAACCAGUUUCAACUAUGGCUAAUGAUGAUUCUCUGGGGUUGUAAUCUAAAUGCUUCCCAAAGA
RNAcentral lists this small nuclear RNA (194 nucleotides) under Cervus hanglu yarkandensis (Yarkand deer). Its description in RNAcentral is "U4 spliceosomal RNA (ENSCHYG00000015866.1)". The stretch from base 1 to 84 matches the Rfam family "U4 spliceosomal RNA". The record is from RNAcentral. Lineage: Eukaryota; Metazoa; Chordata; Mammalia; Artiodactyla; Cervidae.